Long non-coding RNA from Peromyscus maniculatus bairdii (prairie deer mouse), 757 nucleotides. RefSeq lists it as uncharacterized. Lineage: Eukaryota; Metazoa; Chordata; Mammalia; Rodentia; Cricetidae. The record is from RefSeq and is a predicted model, not a curated record.
CCUCCUGCUGGUCACUGUAAUUGUUCUGUGACUGAAUCACCAGCUAGCCCUUUUGAUGGCUAAUCUUAGUUGUCAGCUUGACUGCAAUCAAGCUGGAAUCCAAGCUGCUAAGCACUCCAGUGAGGAAUUUUUUGAUUACAUUAUUUGAAGCAGAAGGCACUUUCUGAUGCCAGCCCAGACAAAAGAACAUAGAAAAAGGAAACUGCUUUUUACCUGCUUGCCCUCAGUCUUACUGUGAAGUCCAUUUAUCCUGUUGCUGAGGCAUUACUUGAACACAUUAGAACCAACGUCUUUGGAUUCCAAAGUAGAUUGACAUCUUCAGCUUUCCAUGAAUUCUCCAGACUUUCAGUGCCAGGUAGAGACUGCUAAAACAUCCAGCCUCAUGGACUGUGCAACUACUGGGUUGUUGGACUACUCAGACCACAUCCUGUAUCUGGGACCUCGGUUAUCACCUCGGGACAGUCCCUCCCUCCCAGGGCUAACUCACCACUAGACAGUAAACAACCUGCUAUCCUAGAACAAAACUAUUUCACAAAACAUCAACCAACUGGGGAAGAGAGGAAACAAGGUCGCCCUGAAUAGCCUGGACAUUCCUUGAAGUCCAGAUCUUCACGCCUUAACCUCCCCAGUAGCUAGGAUUACAGGUAUACCAAGAUCCCAGGGCACGUACCACAGCUGAGCUCAUCACUGGAGUCGGGACAGUCUGGGUGGCCAUCACAGCGCCAUGUGUGUGGGAUACAGACAUCGCCCAACACGC